UGAAUACGAGACGCUAAGGCGUCGAAGUAGUGUAUGUCAUACUUCCAAGAAAAGCUUGCACUGUCAUAGAUAAAAAACGCCUGUACCAUAACCGACACAGGUGGGUAGGUAGAGUAUACUAAGGGGCGCGAGAUAACUCUCUCUAAGGAACUCGGCAAAAUAACUCCGUAACUUCGGGAGAAGGAGUGCCUUAUUAUUAAGGCUGCAAUAACAAGAUCCAAGCAACUGUUUAUCAAAAACACAGGUCUCCGCUAAGUCGUAAGACGAUGUAUGGGGGCUGACGCCUGCCCAGUGCCAGAAGGUUAAAGAAGUUGGUUAGCAUUUGCGAAGCUGAUAACUGAAGCCCUGGUGAACGGCGGCCGUAACUAUAACGGUCCUAAGGUAGCGAAAUUCCUUGUCGGGUAAGUUCCGACCCGCACGAAAGGCGUAAUGAUUUGGAUACUGUCUCGGAGAGGGGCUCGGUGAAAUAGACUUGUCUGUGAAGAUGCGGACUACCUGCACCAGGACAGAAAGACCCUAUGAAGCUUUACUGUAACUUGAAAUUGAAAUUGGACUUUAUUCGCGCAGCAUAGGUGGGAGGCGUUGAUUAUAAUCUUGUGGGAUUAUUGGAGCCAUCAGUGAGAUACCACUCUUGUAAUGUUAGAUUUCUAACUUUGAAUCAUUAUCUGGUCAAAGAACAGUUUCAGGCGGGCAGUUUGACUGGGGCGGUCGCCUCCUAAACGGUAACGGAGGCGUACAAAGGUUUCCUCUGAACGGUUAGAAAUCGUAUCUAGAGUGUAAAGGCAUAAGGAAGCUUGACUGUGAGACCUACAAGUCGAGCAGGGACGAAAGUCGGUCUUAGUGAUCUGACGGUACUGAGUGGAAAGGCCGUCACUCAACGGAUAAAAGUUACUCUAGGAUAACAGGCUGAUCUCCCCCAAGAGUUCACAUCGACGGGGAGGUUUGGCACCUCGAUGUCGGCUCAUCGCAUCCUGGGGCGGUAGUACGUCCCAAGGGUUGGGCUGUUCGCCCAUGAAAGCGGUACGCGAGCUGGGUUCAGAACGUCGUGAGACAGUUCGGUCCAUAUCCGGUGUAGGCGUUAGAAUAUUGAGAGGAGCCUUCUUUAGUACGAGAGGACCGAGAAGGACAUACCUCUGGUGUACCAGUUAUCGUGCCAACGGUAAACGCUGGGUAGCUAUGUAUGGAGUGGAUAACCGCUGAAAGCAUCUAAGUGGGAAGCCCACCUCAAGAUAAGUAUUCUCAUC
This 1244-nucleotide ribosomal RNA is filed under the name metagenome. RNAcentral describes it as "bacterial LSU rRNA". It matches the Rfam family "Bacterial large subunit ribosomal RNA", at positions 1564 to 2818 of the family's 2925-position model. The record is from RNAcentral.